RNAcentral lists this non-coding RNA (23 nucleotides) under Arabidopsis thaliana (thale cress). Lineage: Eukaryota; Viridiplantae; Streptophyta; Magnoliopsida; Brassicales; Brassicaceae. The record is from RNAcentral.
ACAACCUAAGAGAAAGGUGUGUU